CCUACGGGAGGCUGCAGUGAGGAAUAUUGGUCAAUGGACGAGAGUCUGAACCAGCCAAGCCGCGUGAAGGAUGACUGCCCUAUGGGUUGUAAACUUCUUUUAUAUGGGAAUAAAAUGUUCCACGUGUGGGUUUUUGUAUGUACCAUAUGAAUAAGGAUCGGCUAACUCCGUGCCAGCAGCCGCGGUAAUACGGAGGAUUCGAGCGUUAUCCGGAUUUAUUGGGUUUAAAGGGUGCGUAGGUGGUUGGUUAAGUUAGUUGUGAAAGUCUGAGGCUCAACGGUAAAAUUGCAUUUGAAACUGGUAGGCUUGAGUACAGUAGAGGUAGGCGGAAUGUGUGGUGUAGCGGUGAAAUGCUUAGAGAUCACGAAGAACUCCGAUUGCGAAGGCAGCUCAC
RNAcentral lists this ribosomal RNA (394 nucleotides) under uncultured bacterium. RNAcentral's name for it is "partial 16S ribosomal RNA". It matches the Rfam family "Bacterial small subunit ribosomal RNA", at positions 338 to 729 of the family's 1533-position model. The record is from RNAcentral.